Molecule: long non-coding RNA, 541 nt
Organism: Cucumis sativus (cucumber)
Lineage: Eukaryota; Viridiplantae; Streptophyta; Magnoliopsida; Cucurbitales; Cucurbitaceae
Exons: 2
Source: RefSeq, a predicted model, not a curated record
GGAAGUGCUGGGGUCAGUUAUGAUCCUUCUUGCUCCUUUUUAACAUCAUAGACAUUUGGUUGACAUAGUCGUGCCCCAUCUGAUUUCCACCCAUCAACCACUCAAGAGCCUCGGCUGCUGCAUCCUUUUCAGCAUUCUUUUUGUUGGUACAAGUCUUAUAGAUGGGUGCAGCAUAUCCAGCCCUCGUGAGUAAAGUCUGGAGCUGACUCUUGGAAUUGUCCCCACCAGGUCCACUUUCAAUUCUUGAAACAGCAGUUGGUGGUGGUGCUGCUGCUGCUGCUGGAGCUGAUGUCUUGGAGGGCUGCUGAAGGAUCUGGCGGCCAAAAACAAAUCGACCUUCACACUGGUCUUCUGAAAUAAGCAAGCGUACAGCAGAUAGGAGCUCAUGGUGGGAGUGCAAGUCCAUCUUUGGAUUUAGUAGCUGAACAUUGUGACCAAAUCAAUUAAUACAAGUAUUUGGGGUCGUCCAGUAACAUUUUAUGUUCUAAAGUUUUGUUUUCAAAUCGUCUAUAUUUUAAAAAACACCAGUAGAAAAUAGCCA